This 77-nucleotide transfer RNA is filed under the name Nitrospira sp. RNAcentral describes it as "tRNA-Pro". It matches the Rfam family "tRNA". From Rfam's summary of the family: Transfer RNA (tRNA) molecules are approximately 80 nucleotides in length. Their secondary structure includes four short double-helical elements and three loops (D, anti-codon, and T loops). The record is from RNAcentral. RNAcentral also lists the same sequence under 1 other name. Lineage: Bacteria; Pseudomonadati; Nitrospirota; Nitrospiria; Nitrospirales; Nitrospiraceae.
CUGGCCAUAGCGCAGCCCGGUAGCGCGCCUGCUUUGGGAGCAGGAUGUCGCAGGUUCAAAUCCUGCUGGCCAGACCA